RNAcentral lists this unclassified non-coding RNA (301 nucleotides) under Glomeraceae sp. RNAcentral describes it as "partial contains 5.8S ribosomal RNA and internal transcribed spacer 2". The stretch from base 1 to 65 matches the Rfam family "5.8S ribosomal RNA", at positions 84 to 154 of the family's 154-position model. The record is from RNAcentral. Lineage: Eukaryota; Fungi; Glomeromycota; Glomeromycetes; Glomerales; Glomeraceae.
GUGAAUCAUCAAAUCUUUGAACGCAAAUUGCACUCUCCUCGGAGAGUAUGCCUGUUUGAGGGUCAGCCUAUAAAAAAUCGACAUCGUUGCUGUUUCGCGGUGACGUUCGUCGGAAAUUGGGUCAUCUUAAAUCCUUUUGGUUUUAAGCGACUUAAAAUUGACUUUUUUUGCGCAUUUUAGAUGUACAUAAAUUCUUUUUUUUAUUCGUCUGUCUUAAUGCUCAAAAUCCUAUUAGAUGCAACCAUAUCGUGUGGUUUCGCGUCUAUAAAUUUUUCAUGAUUUGACCUCAAAUCAGGUAGGA